GCUUAAAUCUAAAAAAGUCAGAUUGAGGGAAGUCAUGAUACCGAGGUUGGCAAGGACCACUUUGAAUGUAUGCCCUACAUACUUCAUCGUGAUGGUUUGGAUGAUACUCCAAUAUUGGAGUUCUUUCAGCUGGAUUGGACCAUGGAACAAUUGUAUCAAUUUCUUGUCGUAGAGAAGAAUGCGAGGGAAAACAUGAUUGAUCGGCAUUUUCUUCUC
RNAcentral lists this long non-coding RNA (216 nucleotides) under Nicotiana benthamiana. RNAcentral's name for it is "long non-coding RNA (NBEN_LNC012704)". The record is from RNAcentral. Lineage: Eukaryota; Viridiplantae; Streptophyta; Magnoliopsida; Solanales; Solanaceae.